Molecule: unclassified non-coding RNA, 3750 nt
Filed under: Leishmania donovani
Lineage: Eukaryota; Euglenozoa; Kinetoplastea; Trypanosomatida; Trypanosomatidae
Description: gene:LdHU3.32.4140(CDS-product:ATP-binding_casset te_protein_subfamily_B_member_3_putative)
Source: RNAcentral
UACGCAAAGAAAAACGGUUUCACUCACGUAUACGCGUCCCACUUCCCUGUGCAGGAAACUGCACCGGCGUGUCGCAGUGGCGUUGCAAGGGGCAUGCGCUCCUUUCAUCGUCUCUCUCCUUCUCGCUCGCUCACUCACUGGCCUUCUCGGGCUCUCUGCACAUCUCUGCCGCGCAGGAGCGGAGAGCAGAGGGACUUGGACCGACGUUGAGCGGUGCUUCUCUUCUCCCGCCGGCACUGCCGUGCUAUUUGUGGAUCCACUGGCUGCCCAGCGCACCUCUUUCUGCCAGUCAGCUUCCUAGCUCCUUCUCUCUCUGUUACUACUUCCGUAAUUCGACGUUUGAUUGCACCAUGCUGCGGCGAGGGACUCCGCUGCUACGCGGCGCUGGCCUUUACGAGGGUGCUGUCGCACGAGCAACCACAGUGUACGGGCCUUUCGCGGCUGCUGCGCUGCGCAGCCGUCGGGGAGUGCUUGCGAAGCGGCAAGUGCUCGGCACGCAUCCGUCGCUCAAGCCGUCGGUGCUGCCGGGCUAUAGCGCUUGGUCGACGCAAGCACGCACGCUUGUGUGUAUAUCCUGGCUGCUGCGCACUCCAAGCUCCACCCCUCCCUCAGAGGACCAGAAAAAGAAGAAGUUUCAGAAGCGCUCGUGUGGCGCCACCUGUGUAGAUAAUUUACAAAAAGCGACAGUACUGCCAAGUGACGCGUCAGCUGCGCAAACGGGUGGCGAUGGCGCCGGCGCUGCCAGCAGUGAGGGAGAGGUUGCCGCACAGAACGGCAGCGGCAACAAGAGCGAGACAGCUGGAGGGAAACGGAACAAGGAGAAGGGCAGCAGCAGCAGCAGCGGUGGUGGCUCCGCUGGCACUUUUGCUCGCCUCUCCGAAGACGAAGUGGAGGUGACUCAUCGCCUGGGCAUGGGUGAGCGGGUGGCGGCGGCAGGCCAGGAGGCCCAGAGGAGCCCACAUCGCCCGCUGCCACCAGCGGAUCAGCCUGCCUCGCCAGGAGAUGACAUGCCAUUCAACGCGGCGCAGAAGACGAGCGCAGGGGACGCCACGACAGAACCGGAGCUAUCAGCCAAGAAGGAAAAGCCUACGGCGAGCAUCACCACACCACCUCGCCUGGACGGGAUUCAAAUCUCGGAGAACGCGUCUGACAUCCCCGUCGGCCGCGUUCUGUGGAAGAUGUGGACCUACCUCUGGCCACACGGCGAGCCAAAGAUCAAGAUGCUCGUGGCCAGCAGUGUGUUGUGUGUGCUGGUGGCCAAGGUGCUGAGGGUGGCGGUUCCUUUCUGGUUCAAGACGAUCGUGGACCUACUGGCCCCCACCACGGCAACAGCGGAGGCUGUGACGGUGGCCGGCCCGCUCACGGUAGGCGUGUUCGGGUGUGUUGUGGCGUACGGCAUCUGCCGCAUCACGACCUUCGUCUCCGAGGAGCUCAAGACGGUGCUAUUCGCCCCGGUCGGCGGGCACGCCUCCACGAAGUUGUCGAUGGAGAUGUUCAACAAGCUGCACCAGCUCGACCUCGACUAUCACCUCAGCCGCGAGACCGGCGUCCUGAGCAAAGACCUCGACCGCGGUAGCCGCGCGUUCUGGUCCUUGGCGUACGUGCUGCUCUUCAUGAUUGCUCCGACAAUCUUCGAGAUGGGGCUUGUAUGCUAUGCCCUCAACAGCCAGGCUGGCCCGCAGUUCAUCGGCAUUGCACUCAUCGCGGUCUUCUCCUACGUGGCGUGGACCUUUUUGGUGACGAACUGGCGCUCGAAGUUUCGCACGCGCUACAACGCCCUUGAGAGCCGUGUCGGCGGGCUUAUCGUGGACUCGCUGCUCAACUACGAGACGAUCAAGUACUUUGGCUCAGAGAAGUACGAGUCCGAGCGCAUUCGCAAGGAAACGGAGAACAUGAACAAGAAGCUUGUGAUUCUUGAUCAGACGAUGGCGCUGCUGAACUUUGGGCAGCAGCUCAUUUUCGUGGUGGCCAGUGUGCUGAGUCUGUACCUCGCCACGUGCGGUGUGCUGACGGGGGCGAUGACGGUUGGCGACUUGGUGCUGGUGGACGCGCUCCUGAUGCAGCUCUAUAUGCCGCUGAGCUACCUCGGCAUGAUUUACCGCGAGGUCCAGUCCAGCACGCAGAACAUGCAGGCAAUGAUAGCCUUGCUAGACCAAAAGUCGAACGUGAAAGACAAGGCGGACGCGGAGACAUACAAGUAUAUCGACGGCACCAUCGAGCUGCACGACGUCACCUUUGAGUACAAGAAAGAGCUCAACCGCCUCGUCCUGCGCAACCUCAGUCUCACGAUUCCAGGAGGUAAGACAGUGGCCUUUGUCGGCCCUUCGGGGAGCGGCAAGAGCACCAUCUUCCGCCUCCUCUUCCGCUUCUACGACCCCACUUCUGGGCAAGUGCUGCUGGACGGGCAGCCCCUCGACAAACUGCGCAUGGAGAGCGUACGCAAGUGCAUCGGGGUCAUCCCACAAGAUACGGUGCUCUUCAACGAGUCAGUUCGGUACAACAUCCGCUAUGGCCGCAUGGACGCGACGGAUGCCGAGGUGGAGGCCGCAGCGAGGGCUGCAAGCCUGCACGACACCAUAGCGCGCAUGAGCGAAGGCUACGACACAUCUGUCGGUGAGCGGGGCCUCAGGCUGAGCGGCGGCGAGAAGCAGCGCAUUUCCAUUGCGCGCGUUCUGCUGAGGGACCCUCCUAUCCUACUAGCCGACGAGGCCACCUCCGCACUCGACAGCAUGACCGAGCUGAACGUGAUGGAGACACUCAAGAACGCUACUGAGCGGACGCGGCGACGCACAAUUGUCCUCGUCGCACACCGCCUCACGACCGUGAAGGAAGCCGACAUUAUCUUUGUGCUCGACGGCAAAGGUGGCCUUGCAGAGCAAGGCACCCAUGCGGAGCUGCUGGACAAGGGCGGCUUGUACGCUGCUAUGUGGCAUCAGCAGCUGAACGAACAGUAUCAGGCUACCGGCGGUGCCGCACCCGAAGACGCGCACGCGACGGAUGCGAAGCCCACUGCCACAAACGGCUGAGCGGGGUGCGGGGUCUCUCGCUGCAGUGAGGCGCGCCUCACCCGCUUACCCAUACAGUACUCUUUUCGGUAUCGUUGUUGGCUGAGUGCGAGGAAGUGUGGGUGGUGGUGGUGAAGGCGAGGGAGCAAAGCAGUGCUUGGAGGUUGGCACACACUAGCAAGAACGACUCGUGUGGUCGCGCAGGCGGCACAGCAGUUCAUCAAGCGCGCACUUGGGAGUGACCUCCUCCCGCUCUUCUCCCUACGCGGGUGCGCAUCUCUCUUUCUUUGCAUGUGUACGCCUCUGUGGAUUGCCGAUCUCGUCCUGCUUAUGUGCGUGUGUCGCGGUGCGAGGGGCGAUGGUGGGGGUGGGGCACGCUGCCAGAUGGGUGACUGGAAGGAAUGGCUUCGGUGCAGCUCUUGCUUUUUCGUCUUCCUUGUGUGUGUGCGUGUGCCAGGAGGUGGGAGACCGAGGACCCUUAACGCCAACUCAUGAGCGCCGCCUCCACCGCAUCCCUUUUAUCUUUUCGCUCCUUAUGUUCUCUCUCUCAAUAUAUUUUUUCCAUCUCUUUCACUCGCUCUCUAUCUCAGAUUGCCCCCUCCCCCCUCCCCCUCCUCAUCGACGCCAUCUUCGCCGUUGUGAUUCGGCUUGCUCACAGAUUGCCAAACUUCUUCUUUUCUUCAAUUUGUGUAUCUCUUGUUGUGAGCGUGUGAGUGUCUUUCUCUAACUGUUAUGGUCUAGUGAG